Molecule: non-coding RNA, 675 nt
Organism: Pantherophis guttatus
Lineage: Eukaryota; Metazoa; Chordata; Lepidosauria; Squamata; Colubridae
Source: RefSeq, a predicted model, not a curated record
CUGCAACGGUCAUAACUGGUUUCAACUGCAAAAGAUGGCUAAAAGAAGACUAUCUGAAAAAGUUGUGGAAUUCUAAUGGUUCCAAAACAUUCCAGUGAGAUGAAAAAUGACAAGAUGAAAUAAUUUCACUACAAGAAGCAAGAAGGAAAGUACAAAGAAAGUUUGGGGGAAAGGUGAGCAUCAAAACAAGCAUAGAAUGACCAUGUCAAUUACAAUUUGAGUUUACAGCAUAGUUUCUGUCUAGUAUUUAUAAAUCACACCUGUACCAAUAAAGAAUUAAUUACCAAGACACAGUAAACAAUAGAUGGACACUGUAUUAUGAUAGCCAAAGGAAAAAUGGAAUAAGACUCUUUUCUGCACAAAUACUACAAGCCGCCCUGAGUCUCCGGAAAAGGGGGCAUAUAAAUCAAAAAAAAAAAAAAAAAGUAUAAAAACUUGCUUAGGUUUGCAACUUGUCCAGGUCUUAGCAAGAACAAGCUAAAGUGUAUUCUUAGCAAUAUGGUGGCAUUUUUAACUCUGAUUGUUUAAUGUCAUCAUCCAUUUUGGAAUGGGUCAAUGAAUCUACUCAAUGUUACUUGAUCCUUUAUAGGUUCAGUCUGAUGUAUGCUGCCCAGUCUUCAGAUUGUGGAGGGAUAUAAAAAUUACAAAAUUAAUAAAUAAAAGAAAUGGAAAGUA